GUCUAUGGCCAUGCCGCCCUGAACGAGCCUAAUCCCAUCUGAUCUUGGAAGCUAAGCAGGGUUAGUACUGGUUAGUAUUUGAAUGGGAGACCACCUAAGAGUACCAGGUGCUGUAGGCA
This 119-nucleotide ribosomal RNA is filed under the name Pteropus alecto (black flying fox). Lineage: Eukaryota; Metazoa; Chordata; Mammalia; Chiroptera; Pteropodidae. The record is from RNAcentral.